CAGAUCAUGUGACACUUAGAUUGCACACAGGUGGACUUUAUUUAACUAAUUAUGUGACUGAAGGUAAUUGGUUGCACCAGAUCUUAUUUAGGGGCUUCAUAGUAAAGAAUACAUAUGCACACACACCACUUUUCCGUUAUUUAGAUAUUUUUGAAACAAGUUUUUUAUUUUAUUUCACUUUACCAAUUUGGACUAUUUUCUUUGUUUGUCCAUUACAUGAAAUCCAAAUAAAAAUCCAUUUAAAUUACAGGUUGUAAAGCAACAAAAUAGGAAAAACGCCAAGGGGGAUGAAAUACUAUUGUCAGGCACUGUAUUUUCUCACACGUUUGCUGUGCCCCAAAUGGCGUGCAAUCCCCUACAUAGUGCAUUCUCUUUGGCAAGGGCCCACAGAAGUAGUGCACUACAUAGGGAAUGGGAUGCCUAGUCUCUCCACACAGCCUCUGUAUGUCCGGCAAGCCGGACUAUAGCUCACAGGAUGAAAUCACAAACAAUUUACCCAAACCUAUUUUAGUUAUAGCAUUAUUUCAUUUCAUGUUAGAAACUACGUGUCCUUUUUCAUAACUCCCUGUUGAUGCAUUCAUUAACCAAACCAUACAAUAUUAAUAACCAUAACGAGAGAGAGAGACUCGAUAACAACCUGGAUGUAUGUAAUAGUUUUACUAUUACAGAGGUUUCUAUACACUGAGCAGGGCCAUAGACAUGGGUUACAGUCCAGAUCACAUCCUGAUAUAUUCCCUAGGGACUGAGCAGGGCCAUAGACAUGGGUUACAGUCCAGAUCACAUCCUGAUAUAUUCCCUAGGGACUGAGCAGGGCCAUAGACAUGGGUUACAGUCCAAAUGGCAUCCUGAUAUAUUCCCUAGGGACUGAGCAGGGCCAUAGACAUGGGUUACAGUCCAGAUCACAUCCUGAUAUAUUCCCUGUAUAGUCAGAAGGAGUGGACUGUGUAGGGAAUAGGGACUGUGUAGGGAAUAGGGACUGUGUAGGGAAUAGGGACUGUGUAGGGAAUAGGGACUGUAUAGGGAAUAGGGACUGUGUAGGGAAUAGGGACUGUGUAGGGAAUAGGGACUGUGUAGGGAAUAGGGACUGUAUAGGGAAUAGGGACUGUGUAGGGAAUAUAUAACAUAAAACACUGGCUAACCACUGGUGUGGGGUUAAGACUCAGUGGAAAUGCAUCACCAUAGUACUAGACUAGUACUCAUAUUUAGUCAGUACUGCUGUAGUACUCUUAUACAGUACAGUUUAAGUCAGUACUGCUAUAGUACUCUUAUACAGUACAGUUUAAGUCAGUACUGCUAUAGUACUCUUAUACAGUACAGUUUAAGUCAGUACUGCUAUAGUACUCUUAUACAGUACAGUUUAAGUCAGUACUGCUAUAGUACUCUUAUACAGUACAGUUUAAGUCAGUACUGCUGUAGUACUCUUGUACAGUGCAGUUUAAGUCAGUACUGCUAUAGUACUCUUAUACAGUACAGUUUAAGUCAGUUCUGCUAUAGUACUCUCAUACAGUACAGUUAAAGUCAGUACUGCUAUAGUACUCUUAUACAGUACAGUUUUAAUGUGCAAUUAGCUGUAGCCCCUAACAUGGCGAUCAAUAAUCAAUAAUAUUACGAAGUUGGAUAAAAUAUUGAUCAUAUUUAUAAUUCGCAUUGACAUUGAUAAAUGGUGCUGGACUGUAAUUAAGGUUAUGAGGUACACUAGUGACUUUACAUUGAGCCCUGGUGAUGGGAGUCUGGUGGCAGAGUUAUGAGGUACACUAGUGACUUUACAUUGAGCCCUGGUGAUGGGAGUCUGGUGGCAGAGUUAUCAGGUACGCUAGUGACUUUACAUUGAGCCCUGGUGAUGGGAGUGACUUUACAUUGAGCCCUGGUGAUGGGAGUCUGGUGGCAGAGUUAUCAGGUACGCUAGUGACUUUACAUUGAGCCCUGGUGAUGGGAGUGACUUUACAUUGAGCCCUGGUGAUGGGAGUCUGGUGGCAGAGUUAUCAGGUACGCUAGUGACUUUACAUUGAGCCCUGGUGAUGGGAGUCUGGUGGCAGAGUUAUCAGGUACGCUAGUGACUUUACAUUGAGCCCUGGUGAUGGGAGUCUGGUGGCAGAGUUAUCAGGUACGCUAGUGACUUUACAUUGAGCCCUGGUGAUGGGAGUGACUUUACAUUGAGCCCUGGUGAU
Long non-coding RNA from Oncorhynchus tshawytscha (Chinook salmon), 2168 nucleotides. The record is from Ensembl. NCBI's taxonomy places the organism in Eukaryota, Metazoa, Chordata, Actinopteri, Salmoniformes, Salmonidae.